This is a long non-coding RNA of Helianthus annuus (common sunflower), 1177 nucleotides long. RefSeq lists it as uncharacterized. The transcript has 4 exons. The record is from RefSeq and is a predicted model, not a curated record. NCBI's taxonomy places the organism in Eukaryota, Viridiplantae, Streptophyta, Magnoliopsida, Asterales, Asteraceae.
UGUUUUUUUAACAUUCUUGUUAUAUUUAAUUUGAAAAGCAACAGGCUUGGCCACUAAUGUCAAAGAGUGUUGUUUGACCCUUGAAUUUUUGAAUUUGCAGUUAAAAAAAGAAGAAAAUCUAUCAAGCUUCUUGAGUUUUUUUAACAUUCUUGUUACAUUACUAAGAUUCAAGAUAAGGUUGCAACAUAAAUUGAAAAAACAACAAAAAUGAGAAACAAGGUCACAAACAUUGUAGAAUUUGCAAAUGGUGUGAGUGAAGAAAGCCUACAAAAGAUGCAGAAUCUUCAUGCAGAUUUCAACGGAACUAUCAUGCAGUUCCAGUGGGUGAUGAUGUAUCUGUUGGUUAUGAUGUGAAGAAAGGAGAUUACCAUACCUUAUGAGCCCAUAUGCAAUAGGGAGGGUCAAGUUUGAUGCACUCGAACCAGAAAGAUGGUUUCAUCACAUUGUUGCUUUCAUCCACAAAGCUUCUUUAAGUUUUACAGCUUUGCAGAAACACAAGAGGGACAAAGAAUUUGUUUGGCUCAAGAAUUUGCGUAUGUGCUGCAGAUGAAGAUCUUUGCUUCUAUUUAGUUAAGUUAUUUCAUUUUCAAGGUGAAUGAAAACAAAAGUGCAAAUGCUUAAUCUUCACAUUGAUGGUGAUACAGAGUUGAUCCAUGAUCUGGCAUACUCAUAUUUGGUGCAGUUAGACACACGGAAGUGGAUUGGAAAAUGGUUCAUGCUAAAAAAGGAUUAACUUUCAGUACGUUUGAAGUUAUAUGGGGGAUAAGUAAUGGACAUAAACGUCUCAACAAGCCACACGCAUGGACAAAUGCUAUAGGUGGGUUUUCCCAAAUCUCGGCACCCAAUUUCGUCAUCUAGAGCUCCAAUUUUGAAGCCAAGGUUGUUAAUUUCAAGGAACCCUUGGAGUGGUUACAAGUUGCGUCUGAUAGCACUUGGCAUUCAUGGGCUAAGUUACGCACCUUUGAUUGGAACUUAUAACCAAUAAAGAAUUAAUGGAACUUGCCUUUGAUGUCAAGUUACCAUCUGAUGAAGAUUAAAAGAACUUACUGAAGCAAGUUACCUCUAGUGAAGAUUGAUGAAGUCUCGCUAAUGAAGAAGAGAUGCCACGUAUUAGCCUAUCAUUUGACGAAGACAAUCUGUUGAGAGGAUGUUAUACGUAAUUGUCACUUUUCAAUUC